RNAcentral lists this unclassified non-coding RNA (375 nucleotides) under uncultured fungus. Its description in RNAcentral is "partial contains 5.8S ribosomal RNA, internal transcribed spacer 2, and large subunit ribosomal RNA". The record is from RNAcentral. Lineage: Eukaryota; Fungi.
AACGCAAAUUGCACUCUCGGGUAUCCCCGGGAGUACGCUUCUUUCAGUAUCGGUUCUAUCUAAACUCGCCUGCGUUUUGAUUAACAAAGGCGGAAAUUGAGCGUCAGGCUUUGAACGAAGCUUGUUGCUUGAAGGAUAGAAGCGGUAGUUUCUAUUUCUCGUUCACGAGAACUCUAGUGCGCCUUCUCUUCCUUCGGAAGGGCUGAUGCAAACUGAGUGACGUGGUUAAGUUCGCCUUCGUGCGACACCACCAUCGUCUCUAAUCUCAGUGCGCUACAGUUGGCACGCUUUGAGCGGAAACAUCACACUGCUUUGGAAUAAUAACCCAAAACAAAAUCAGAUCUGAAAUGAAGUGAGAGGACCCGCUGAACUUAA